RNAcentral lists this unclassified non-coding RNA (329 nucleotides) under plant metagenome. RNAcentral describes it as "partial contains 5.8S ribosomal RNA, internal transcribed spacer 2, and large subunit ribosomal RNA". The stretch from base 1 to 105 matches the Rfam family "5.8S ribosomal RNA", at positions 50 to 154 of the family's 154-position model. The record is from RNAcentral.
GAAAUGCGAUAAGUAAUGUGAAUUGCAGAAUUCCGUGAAUCAUCGAAUCUUUGAACGCACAUUGCGCCCUCUGGUAUUCCGGGGGGCAUGCCUGUCCGAGCGUCAUUGCGAACCCCUCAAGCACGGCUUGUGUGAUGGGCCCUCCCGCGUCUUGGUCGUCAAGACGGGCCCGAAAUGCAGUGGCGGCUUCGCGGUUAUCCGAUCAGCCAGAGUGUAUGGGGACUUUCUCUCUGUCACACGCCCGCGGCGCGGACCGACGCCUGUCGACCUUCAUUCAUCGUUUUCCCGGUUGACCUCGGAUCAGGUAGGGAUACCCGCUGAACUUAAGC